Molecule: long non-coding RNA, 420 nt
Filed under: Zonotrichia albicollis (white-throated sparrow)
Lineage: Eukaryota; Metazoa; Chordata; Aves; Passeriformes; Passerellidae
Description: lncRNA (ENSZALG00000000663.1)
Source: RNAcentral
AUUUUUCCCAUUAUUUUUUUCCAUUUUUUCCCAACUUUUGGGGUUUUUUAUUUUUUUGUUUUCUCUUUUUUUUUGGGGAAUUUUUCCCUUCAAUGAACAAAACUUGAGAACGAAUCCAAUAAAAACUUUGGAGCUUUAAAAUUUGGGAAUUUCGGUUUUUGGGAAGGGACCAAAAUUUGGGAUUUGGGAUUUGGGGGGGGGAAUUUGGGGCAACUCCGAGGAAAUUCAGCCCCAAACUGGGAGCACUGGGAGGGUCCCAGUUCCAAACUGGGAGCACUGGGACAGUUCCAGUCCCAAACUGGGAGGGUCCCAGGCCCAUACUGGUGUUACUGGUGUUACUGGGAGGUCACUGGGAGGGUCCCAGUUCCAAACUGGGAGCACUGGGACACUCCCAGUCCCAUACUGGUGUUACUGGGACCC